CCUACGGGGGGCUGCAGUGGGGAAUAUUGGACAAUGGGCGAAAGCCUGAUCCAGCCAUGCCGCGUGUGUGAAGAAGGCCUUCGGGUUGUAAAGCACUUUCAGUGGGGAAGAAAGCCUUGGGGCUAAUACCCUCGAGGAAGGACAUCACCCACAGAAGAAGCACCGGCUAACUCCGUGCCAGCAGCCGCGGUAAUACGGAGGGUGCGUGCGUUAAUCGGAAUUACUGGGCGUAAAGCGCGCGUAGGCGGUCUGAUAAGCCGGUUGUGAAAGCCCCGGGCUCAACCUGGGAACGGCAUCCGGAACUGUCAGGCUAGAGUGCAGGAGAGGAAGGUAGAAUUCCCGGUGUAGCGGUGAAAUGCGUAGAGAUCGGGAGGAAUACCAGUGGCGAAGGCGGCCUUCUGGACUGACACUGACGCUGAGGUGCGAAAGCGUGGGUAGCAAACAGGAUUAGAUACCCGGGUAGUC
RNAcentral lists this ribosomal RNA (465 nucleotides) under Vreelandella stevensii. Its description in RNAcentral is "partial 16S ribosomal RNA". It matches the Rfam family "Bacterial small subunit ribosomal RNA", at positions 338 to 795 of the family's 1533-position model. The record is from RNAcentral. Lineage: Bacteria; Pseudomonadati; Pseudomonadota; Gammaproteobacteria; Oceanospirillales; Halomonadaceae.